RNAcentral lists this ribosomal RNA (468 nucleotides) under uncultured bacterium. Its description in RNAcentral is "partial 16S ribosomal RNA". It matches the Rfam family "Bacterial small subunit ribosomal RNA", at positions 28 to 507 of the family's 1533-position model. The record is from RNAcentral.
GACGAACGCUGGCGGCGUGCUUAACACAUGCAAGUCAAACGGAAAGGCCCUGCUUUUGUGGGAUGCUCGAGUGGCGAACGGGUGAGUAACACGUGAGUAACCUGCCAUUGACUUAGGGAAAACUUCAGGCCACUGAGGCUAAUACCGGAUAGGCGCACCUGCUGCAUGGUGGGGGUUGGAAAGAUUCGGCGGUUGGGGCUGGACUCGCGGCUUAUCGGCUUGGUGGUGGGGUAGUGGCUUACCAAGGCUUAGCCGGGAAGGCGGCCUGGGAGGGUGACCGGCCACAUUGGGACUGGGAUACCGCCCAGACCCCUACGGGGGGCAGCAGUGGGGAAUAUUGCACAAUGGGCCGAAGCCUGAUGCAGCAACGCCGCGUGCGGGAUGACGGCCUUCGGGUUAUAAACCGUGUUUGCCGGUGACGAAGCGUGAGUGACGGUAAUGGGUAAAGAAGCACCGGCUAACUACGUG